RNAcentral lists this ribosomal RNA (487 nucleotides) under uncultured bacterium. RNAcentral's name for it is "bacterial SSU rRNA". It matches the Rfam family "Bacterial small subunit ribosomal RNA", at positions 29 to 507 of the family's 1533-position model. The record is from RNAcentral.
AUGAACGCUAGCUACAGGCUUAACACAUGCAAGUCGAGGGGCAGCAUGAACAUAGCUUGCUAUGUUUGAUGGCGACCGGCGCAAGGGUGCGUAACGCGUGAGCAACUUGCCCUCAUCAGGGGAAUAACCGUUGGAAACGACGACUAAUACCCCAUAGCACAUAUUUAAGGCAUCUUUUAUAUGUUAAAGAAUUUCGGAUGAGGAUAGGCUCGCGUGACAUUAGCUAGAUGGCGGGGUAACGGCCCACCAAGUCGACGAUAGCUAGGGGAUCUGAGAGGACGGUCCCCCACACUGGUACUGAGACACGGUCCAGACUCCUACGGGAGGCAGCAGUGAGGAAUAUUGGUCAAUGGUCUGACGACUGAACCAGCCAUGCCGCGUGAAGGUCACGGCCCUAUGGGUCUUAAACUUCUUUUGUAAGGGAGCAAUAAGUCUCACGUGUGGGAUGAUGAGAGUACCUUACGAAUAAGCAUCGGCUAACCCCGUG